AUACUUACCUGGCAGGGGAGAUAUCAUGAUCACCAAAGUAGUUUUCCNGGGGCAAGGCUUAUCCAUUGCACACCAUAUGUGCUGACCCCUGCAAUUUUUCCAAAUGUGGGAAACUCAACUGCAUAAUUUGUGGUAGUGGGGUGGACUGUGUUCACACUCUCCCCUG
RNAcentral lists this small nuclear RNA (166 nucleotides) under Neotoma lepida (desert woodrat). RNAcentral's name for it is "U1 spliceosomal RNA". It matches the Rfam family "U1 spliceosomal RNA". From Rfam's summary of the family: U1 is a small nuclear RNA (snRNA) component of the spliceosome (involved in pre-mRNA splicing). Its 5' end forms complementary base pairs with the 5' splice junction, thus defining the 5' donor site of an intron. The record is from Rfam by way of RNAcentral. Lineage: Eukaryota; Metazoa; Chordata; Mammalia; Rodentia; Cricetidae.